UGCCCAGUAGCUCAGUGGUAGAGCAGGUGACUGUUAAUCACUUGGUCGCUGGUUCGAUCCCAGCCUGGGCAGCCA
This 75-nucleotide transfer RNA is filed under the name Opitutaceae bacterium. RNAcentral describes it as "tRNA-Asn". It matches the Rfam family "tRNA". Rfam says of the family: Transfer RNA (tRNA) molecules are approximately 80 nucleotides in length. Their secondary structure includes four short double-helical elements and three loops (D, anti-codon, and T loops). Lineage: Bacteria; Pseudomonadati; Verrucomicrobiota; Opitutia; Opitutales; Opitutaceae. The record is from RNAcentral.